GACGAACCGUGCGAACGUUAUUCGGAAUCACUGGGCUUAAAGCGCGUGUAGGCGGAUGGGAACGUCGGUACCUGAAAGCCCCCGGCUCAACCGGGGAAGGGGGGCCGAAACGACCUGUCUGGAGGGACGUAGGGGGACCUGGAACUUCCGGUGGAGCGGUGAAAUGCGUUGAGAUCGGAAGGAACGCCCGUGGCGAAAGCGAGGUCCUGGACGUUUACUGACGCUGAGACGCGAAAGCUAGGGGAGCGAACAGG
RNAcentral lists this ribosomal RNA (254 nucleotides) under uncultured bacterium. Its description in RNAcentral is "partial 16S ribosomal RNA". It matches the Rfam family "Bacterial small subunit ribosomal RNA", at positions 524 to 776 of the family's 1533-position model. The record is from RNAcentral.